Molecule: ribosomal RNA, 337 nt
Filed under: uncultured archaeon
Lineage: Archaea
Description: partial 16S ribosomal RNA
Rfam family: Archaeal small subunit ribosomal RNA
Source: RNAcentral
GGGGAAACUGGGGAUAAUACCCUAUAGACUAUGGAGGCUGGAAUGCUCUGUAGCCGAAAGGGCAGCCGCCGUAGGAUGGGUCUGCGGCCGAUUAGGUUGUUGUUGGGGUAACGGCCCAACAAGCCUGUAAUCGGUACGGGUUGUGGGAGCAAGAGCCCGGAGAUGGAUUCUGAGACACGAAUCCAGGCCCUACGGGGCGCAGCAGGCGCGACAACUUUGCAAUGCGGGAAACCGUGACAAGGGAACUCUGAGUGCCCGUAAAAUCGGGCUGUCCAUCGGUUUAACUACCCGGUGAAGAAAGGGCCGGGCAAGACCGGUGCCAGCCGCCGCGGUAACA